ACUGACAGCCAUGGUUACCGCGGCUGCUGGCACGGAGUUAGCCGGUGCUUCUUCUGUGAGUGAUGUCCUUCCUGCCGGCUAUUAACCCGCAGGCCUUCUUCCUCACUGAAAGUGCUUUACAACCCGAAGGCCUUCUUCACACACGCGGCAUGGCUGGAUCAGGGUUGCCCCAUUGUCCAAUAUUCCCCACUGCUGCCUCCCGUAGGAGUCUGGGCCGUGUCUCAGUCCCAGUGUGGCUGAUCAUCCUCUCAGACCAGCUACGGAUCGUCGCCUUGGUGAGCCGUUACCUCACCAACCAGCUAAUCCGACAUAGGCUCAUCCGAUAGCGCGAGGCCCGAAGGUCCCCCGCUUUCCCCCGUAGGGCGUAUGCGGUAUUAGCCUGGGUUUCCCCAGGUUAUCCCCCAUACCGGGCAGAUUCCUAUGCAUUACUCACCCGUCCGCCGCUCGCCACCAGGGAGCAAGCUCCCCGUGCUGCCGCUCGACUUGCAUGUGUUAGGCCUGCCGCCAGCGUUCAAU
Molecule: ribosomal RNA, 516 nt
Filed under: uncultured bacterium
Lineage: Bacteria
Description: partial 16S ribosomal RNA
Source: RNAcentral